GGGGGCGUGGUGGAGCUGGCGAUACACGGCGGCCUCAAAAGCCGCUGCCCGCAAGGGCUUAGGGGUUCGAAUCCCCUCGCCCCCACCA
Molecule: transfer RNA, 88 nt
Filed under: Acidobacteriota bacterium
Lineage: Bacteria; Pseudomonadati; Acidobacteriota
Also listed under: 2 other names
Description: Acidobacteria bacterium tRNA-Leu
Rfam family: tRNA
About the family: Transfer RNA (tRNA) molecules are approximately 80 nucleotides in length. Their secondary structure includes four short double-helical elements and three loops (D, anti-codon, and T loops).
Source: RNAcentral